This 437-nucleotide long non-coding RNA is filed under the name Helianthus annuus (common sunflower). The record is from RNAcentral. Lineage: Eukaryota; Viridiplantae; Streptophyta; Magnoliopsida; Asterales; Asteraceae.
AUGGAACUACUAGUCAAAACAAGCUCACUUUUAUGGAAAAUUGACCCCAACACCUGGGAAACUAUACCAAAGUUCUGAAACGCAUGAAAUGAUCCAAUAGAGAUUGGGUCUUCAAAGUAAAUUUGUUGGGGCGGAAGUUGACCAAGAGAUAUAGAAAGAACAUCGACGCCAUCGUGAUUAGCGUCGCUAAAUGCCGUUAGAAGGUCGGCAUCUUCACAACCUCCAAACCAGCACACUUUGUAUAUUGCGAUCAUAAUGGAUUGAUGCAUAUUUUGGUGGUAAAUGAGAGUUAUCUUGCAAGCUCAGGUUUAAAGAACAAUUUAUUCUUGAAAGAAAUCCCACCCUUAUACCAACACACUUUUAGUUUGGAUGUUUGGAUUUGGAUAAUUUAAUUUGAGUUAUAUGAUGUUUUGAUUUGGAUGUUCAUAUGAGGACCA